This 654-nucleotide ribosomal RNA is filed under the name Gymnodiniaceae sp. ZH-2018a. RNAcentral's name for it is "partial large subunit ribosomal RNA". The record is from RNAcentral. Lineage: Eukaryota; Dinophyceae; Gymnodiniales; Gymnodiniaceae.
AGCAGAUGCAAGUACCAUGAGGGAAAGAUGAAAAGGACUUUGAAAAGAGAGUUAAAAGUGCCUGAACUCGCUGAAAGGAAAGCGGAUGGAACCAGUCGUGCUUGGCGAGAUUGUUGCGUGCAAAGGUGACUGCUCACUGCUCGUAGCGUAAGCGCAGCAGCGGGUUUCGAUCUGGUCGCGCGCGAUGCUUCUUGCCUUGUUCGUCAUCGUUGGUUUGGAGGCGCGGACAACUCUUGGGACAUGGGUAACUCGCCCCACGGGCGACGACGAACGUAGUGGCCGUUCGUCGACGAAACGUACCUACCCUACCCUAAACCCUAACGUAGUAGUUCGUUCCUUUCGUUUUAGGGUUUACGGUUUCGUUUGGUUCCGGUACCCGGUACCGGGCCGAACCGUUACCGUUUUCGUUACGAAAACGAAACGGUCGGGUUGGGUACGAACGAAAGUAAGGUUUCGGUUACUUUACGUUACCCCGGUACCCGUUUCGUUAAACGAAACCGGAACCCGGAAACCGGAAAGGGUACGUUAACCUAAACUAAUUAGUUGGUCGAACGUAAACGUUUACGGGUUUGGGGGUCGGGAAACCCGUAAAACCUUAGUUGGUCGGCCGAACUAAGUAAAGGUAAAGGUAGGUAGGUCGUCGUAGGAAGUAGU